UAAAAUGUCUCCAACGUUGACAAUAAAGGCAUCUGGUAGUGGUUUAACAGGAACCCAAAUCCCAUCUUUCUUCACUUGGAGACCAUCCAUUUCAUUGACUUGUAGGAGGAUGGUGAGACCUACACUAUCAGAAUGAGGUGUAAGACCGAUGACUUUCCCUGGAUGAGGACAUGGAGGGUAAUAGUUCAUCCUCAUUUGUUGCAUUCCAUCUUCAUACAACUUGGUCACUUCCUUGUCUUCCAUUUGUAAAGCAGUUUCCAUUUGGGAUAGGAUAGUCAUGGAUAGGUUCCUCAGCUCCAAUGAGUAAUCAUCUAAGGUCUCUCUACAUGUAAAAAAUAACUUGGUUAUCGAAAUUCAGUCACCUACAUAUAUAUGCAUAAAUUCUAUGUGCAGGAUGUUUGGUCUUUAAUUCUUAAAAAUUGAAUUGAUCUAUAUGUGCAUCAAUAUUGUUGGUGAAAAUGUAUCGAUAACAUGUCGAUAAAUUUUGUUGACAACAAUGAUUUACACACAUUGUCGAGGCCAUAUUGAUAGCUUGUGUUUAUUAUUAUUGGAAGCCGGACGUCAUGUAUGUAUCCAUACUAAAAAUAAUGCCAAAGAAAAUGAACACUUAAUUGGAUCAUUAAAUUGUAUCGAGGUGGACCUAUAUACAUCAUGGAUUCACGCACAUUCAUAUAUAUAAUCAUAUUGCACAAAAUCACAAACAUAUGGAUAUGCACACAAAGUAAUAAGAUGAGAUGAUGAGAGGAGAGGACCUGAAAGGAGAAGGGAGGUUUGGGAACAGACGAGGCCUCCUUAUUUGAACUGGAAGGGUGGUCAUGAAGAAAAGGUCAGCCCAAUCGAGCUUUUGGUCUUCUGAAACUACAAAGGCUUGUCCAAAACCUUCCACGUCUCCUGGGGUUUGCCAAAGCUUUUUCUUCUCUUCCAUGGGAAGGUUGAAGAAGUCUUGAACUUCUGUCUUUAUUUUCUCCAUCAAGGAAGAGCUCACUCCAUGGUUUACCAACUGUGACAUGCAUAUACUAUGUUAUGUUGUACACGAUUACUUUUUAAAUGCCUAGUUAGUAACAAGUAAAAAUACGUUCUUAUUACAUGUAUAAUUACACGAUUAGUUGCCUAAAGUCGAAUUUGUGAACUUGUUUUAUUUAUGUAGCAACUGUCGUUCAGCACUUCUUCCAACAAAAUGAAGAUUUCACAAUAUAAAAAAUAUAUCUCUCUUAAGAAGGAAAAAAAAAAAAACACACACACACACACACAGAACUAUGAUACUCAGCAGCGAGCCACUUCUAGGCCUAGAGUGAAGCUCCCCAUAUCUUAUAACAAACAUCUUAUAAUUUAAGUUAAAAUUCCCACCGAAACAAAUUAGCCCCUUGACGAUACGCUACUAAUACUUGUACUUACUUUACCAAUUUUGGCCCAACAUUUCCAAUAACUUCUGAUUGAAGUAUAUUAUUGCUCCAUCAAUAUAAUAUACUAUCACAAGUGUGAUGUCAUCUUCUAAUUAAUUCCUCAAAACAGUCCAAAGGAGUGAAAAAUGGUGUCUACCUGAAAGAAACCCCACUCUUUGCAAGCAAAAUGGAGCUUAGCUAACUCAGAUUCAGAAUCAAUUGAGUCUUGAGAAAGCAACUUGUGCAUGUCAAUGAAUGGUAUUUCCGCAUCAGAGUUGAAUAUCACUUGAUCUUGUUGGUGAUGGUGAUGAUGAGGCUGUAUGUAUCUGGGUGGGAUGGUGAUUAUAUGCUUCUUGGCCAAUUCUUGAACACUAGGCACAAUAAGAGAGCCACCGUACAAGCUCCUCGAUGCCUUUUCUUCCAUAGCUUUGCCAAAGCUAACUAAUAUGGCUGCUUAAUCUGGAUAUUUUUUUAUUUGCUUGACUCUAUCUUUUAUAGAAUUUAAAUUUUGGUUUUGUCCUUUUUUAUUUUUUUUAUUUGCUCGACUCUCCACCGACCACCCCCCCCACCCCCCACCCCACACGUUAAAUACACGUGAGUCAGUUUUGUUUUCUUGUCUGGACUUGAACUAGCGGUUGGAUAUGGGACCAAUGGGCAGGGCAGCAAUAAUCAAUGACUAGCCCCUUGACACAUGCUCACGCAUGUGCCAAUUGAUUUUCUUUUUUUUUUUUAUUUUUUUUUUAAAAUUAAUAAAAGAUAACAGGGUAGUUAUGUUCCAUCAAAGUAGGACCUAUUAUCUUAUUUUGUUUUUAAUUUUAAUUUUUUUAAUAUUAAAAAUGUGAAUUUACUAUAUUAUCCUCAUUUAAUUAAUAAUUUCAAUUCUUAAUGUUUGAAUUAACAAAGGGCAUUUUCUGGUAUUUUGAAUGUUUCACCAUUCUCUGCCUUUUGCUUUAUAUAUAUAGAUUUAAGAUUUGUGACCAUUAUUGUGAGGAAAUUUUGGAAUAAUUUUGCACGUGCCGUGAGUGUAUAUAUAUAAAGAUUAAUUAGGAUUUGUUUUAAUUAACACGGGAGGUGGAUUAGAAUUUGAAAUUUCUUUUAGGUCCCUUGAUAUUGAAUGUGAUUCCUUGUCUGUUGUCUCUCUGAUUGCUAAGGAUUGUAAUCAUUCACAUCCUCUGUUUUUUGUCUAUUGUCUGAUUGAAGAUGGCAAGUUGUUAUUUAACCGUGAUUGGAGAUGCAAUGUCUCUCAUAUUUAUAGGGAGCAAAACAGAGCAGUUGAUCACCUUCCUAACUUGGGGUAUGAGUUACCCUUGGAGCUUCAUAACUACGAGUCUGCUCAUAUCUCCCUCUCAAGCUUGCUGUUGGAUGAUGAACUAGGGAGAGCCCAAGGUAGGGCUGUGCCUUGUUAGCUUUUUUUUUUUUUUUUUUUUUUUUUCUUUUUUGGCUAAGGCCUGCCUUGUAACCAAAAAAAAAGGAAAAAGAAAUUUCUUUUAACAUUAAGAAGAGAAGUGUCACUAAAAUAAUUACUAAUUUUAAAUUAAUUAUAGUUAACCUUUUAAUUAUAUAUUGUAUACUAAAGGUUGUAGGUAUCAUCAACGGUUUUACACCUCAUAUGGUGAUUACAGUAGUAGCUAACAAGCAGCAUUCUAAAAAAAUACGGUUGAUUAAUUUCUUGGAUUAUGCUCACAUCAAUGGUCACAAAUUCAUAAAUUGACAAUAGUCGAAAUUGAUUUGUGCAAGUUGUAUGUACCACACAAAAUAUGCGUAGUAUUUGACUCAACAAGACAAAUAAAAAAUCAAGUUAUAUCGGAAAUGACACAUGUUGCGUAGUAUGUGCCACACCAUUUGCUUCACGGAAAACAAAAACAGAUAACACUAUCAAGUCAAGUCAAUUUAAAAGCCUAAAAGCUUAAAAGAAGGAUGAACUAUAUAUAGGUGCUCCACUUUAUUUAUAUCUAAGGGUGAUGAACCUAUUUAAGCUAUAAGGAUGAAGUAAAAGAAGAUGAACUAAGCAGAUAUGGGCUUAGCCAAAUUAGCUAAAGCGGAUGUGCUCCCUACUCUACACUUGAAUUUGAAUCCCUAUUUCCAAAGUUGAGAUUAGAUUAAAGUAAAAACAAGAAAGAAAGAAGAAGAUGAACUUAUAAGAGAUGAGUUUAUAACUUUCACAUCACAUUAGUUGCAACAAUUUAUUUAUAAUUAAGAGACUGGAGGUACUAAUGAUGAGGAUCAUAAUCAGCUAGGGCAUGAUUAUUCUCAUUUAUUAGAUAGUAAAGGGCUAUAUAUUUGAAAUGAUAUUAAAGGGCAGCAACCUCUUCACAUUUCAAGAGCAACCAACAAAAUAAACUCUAUUGGCAGGGCACACUUCAUCAGUUGGACACCAUCUGCACUGGUAGGCUUUGGUUUAUUUCUUCAGAAAAUUAGAUACCACUAAUACAUGGUUGCAAUUCCACGCUCACAGAUUGUCUAAAUCUCACCACCAUCUUACUUUAUCCUAAGUUCUUCAAGAAAAGACUUUCCUUGAAGCUUACGUUCAAAAAGGGCUUUCACAUAAUCUUGAACUCCCACCCUUUUAUAUACUGCAGGUGUUUGCUCAGUGACCAAGCUAGCCGGACCAAUUUCAACAUCAAGUGCUGGGUUGUGAAAUGUGGCGAUUGACAGCCGUUCUUUUACAGAGUUAACUGUUGCACGAUGCUCAAUGCUUCGAUAAAUCCCAUUUGUUUGAAUCUGCCAUGAGUCCCAUAUACACACACAAAAUUAUGUAGCUGCAGUAGAUAAAAUGAUUAUGUAUGAAUCUUGAUUUGAAAUUACUGUUGAACACAUCUCUCACAAAGCAACGUAACUCAAACAAUCGAGUCUAGUUCCAUCUACGUGAGAGAUAUGCAACUGAUUGACACUAUUAUCAGUAAAUAUGGCACAAAUAGAAGAAGGCAAACAUUACAGCCCCAUAUUGUAAAAUGACAUGUUUAAACAGGGGUAAUGUUUCCUAUUUAUUUUUGUGUCGAUAUUCUUCUAUAUGUUAUGUUGUAGAACUAUGUACUAUAGAUUUACACAAGUAUUCACCAUAGGAUCAGUUAUGUGAAAUUGAGAGCCAUACGAUUACCUCUAAAAUGUCUCCAAUGUUGACAAUAAAGGCAUCUGGUAGUGGCUUAACAGGAACCCAAAUCCCAUCUUUCUUUACUUGGAGACCAUCCAUUUCAUUCACUUGUAGGAGGAUGGUGAGACCUACAGAAUCAGAAUGAGGUGUAAGACCGAUGACUUCCGCCGGAAGAGGACAUGGAGGGUAAUAGUUCAUCCUCAUUGAUUGCAUUCCAUCUUCAAAUAACUUGGUCAGUUCCUUGGCUUCCAUUUGCAAAGCAGUUUCCAUUUGUGAUAGGAUAGUCAAGGCU
RNAcentral lists this long non-coding RNA (4765 nucleotides) under Prunus persica (peach). RNAcentral describes it as "long non-coding RNA (PPER_LNC004113)". The record is from RNAcentral. Lineage: Eukaryota; Viridiplantae; Streptophyta; Magnoliopsida; Rosales; Rosaceae.